Long non-coding RNA from Maniola jurtina (meadow brown), 926 nucleotides. RefSeq lists it as uncharacterized. The record is from RefSeq and is a predicted model, not a curated record. Lineage: Eukaryota; Metazoa; Arthropoda; Insecta; Lepidoptera; Nymphalidae. The transcript has 3 exons.
CCAGUAGUUUUUGCGUGAAGGAGAAAAUUUUGUAAGGGUGUGCAUAUUAAUGACUUAAUUAAUAGACAAAUUACUGAAGAAAUACUUCACGUCAAUCGAAUUAUAAUUAUGAGAAGGUAUUAUUUUGAUUAAAUUGUUUCCCGUUUAAGGGUUUCCUAUGGAACUUUCUUUCGGUGUAAGAUCUGUAUUAAAUUACUUCUGUAUCUUAGUUGUUUGAAUUAUAUAAUUUAGGAAGUAUAAAAAUAAGCGUAUUUAAUGUAUAACUUGUUAAAGGGAUAAUUCACAUCAAUCAAAUUAUAACUAUUUGAAGAUAUUAUUUUGAGUAAACUGAUGUUGGGAGGGGCUUCCAAUGUGUAAUCGAUAAACGAUCUGUAUUAAAGUAUUCUUGUAUUUUAGUUGGUUGAAUUAUAUAAUUUAGGAAGUAUAAAAAUAAGCAUAAUUAAUAUAUAAUUUAUUAAGGGGAUAAUUCGCAUCAAUCAAAUUAUAACUAUUUGAAGAUAUUAUUUUGAGUAAACUGAAGUUGGGAGGGGCCUUCUAUGUGCGAUCGAUAAACGAUCUGUGUUAAAGUAUUUUUCAUUUUAGUUGAUUGAAUUGUACGAUUUUAAAAAGUCUAGAAAUAGUUAUCGAAUUUAUAAUGUAAAAACAUUUCAUUACCUAGCUGAUUUAUUAAGCGAACUUAAUGUUUACUUUUAUUAAUUGCUCAACUUGUUCGAUGUAUGAUCUUGAUUGGAAGAUAUAAUCUUAAGGUAGAAUGAUAGAGUGAGGCGGAUAGAUAACGAAGUUUACCUUUUUGGAUAGUUAAAACGGAAAACAUUCCUAGUGGAGAUUUCGUGAAAGCAAGUGUAAUAAGAAUAUAAUAAGGAGGAGUGAAAUAAAGACAUAAUAAUUAUUAUAAUUAUUCGGCUGUUUAACUACAUGACCUAAUC